GAACGCUGGCGGGUGCUUACACAUGCAGUCGAACGGAAAGGCCCUGGCUUGCAGGGUACUCGAGUGGCGAACGGGUGAGUAACACGUGGGUGAUCUGCCCUGCACUUCGGGAUAAGCCUGGGAAACUGGGUCUAAUACCGGAUAGGACCAUCGUUUAGUGUCGGUGGUGGAAAGUUUUUCGGUGCAGGAUGAGCUCGCGGCCUAUCAGCUUGUUGGUGGGGUAAUGGCCUACCAAGGCGUCGACGGGUAGCCGGCCCGAGAGGGUGGACGGCCACAUUGGGACUGAGACACGGCCCAGACUCCUACGGGAGUGCAGCAGUGGGGAAUAUUGCACAAUGGGCGCAAGCCUGAUGCAGCGACGCCGCGUGGGGGAUGAAGGCCUUCGGGUUGUAAACUCCUUUCAACCAUGACGAAGCAUUACGUGACGGUAGUGGUAGAAGAAGCACCGGCUAACUACGUGCCAGCAGCCGCGGUAAUACGUAGGGUGCGAGCGUUGUCCGGAAUUACUGGGCGUAAAUGAGCUCGUAGGUGGUUUGUCGCGUCGUCUGUGAAAUUCCGGGGCUUAACUCCGGGCGUGCAGGCGAUACGGGCAUAACUUGAGUGCUGUAGGGGAGACUGGAAUUCCUGGUGUAGCGGUGAAAUGCGCAGAUAUCAGGAGGAACACCGAUUGGCGAAGGCAGGUCUCUGGGCAGUAACUGACGCUGAGGAGCGAAAGCAUGGGUAGCGAACAGGAUUAGAUACCCUGGUAGUCCAUGCCGUUAACGGUGGGCGCUAGUCGUGUGGGGGGUCUUCCGCGACUUUCUGUUGGCCGUAGGCUAACGCAUUAAGCGCCCCGCCUGGGGAGUACGGGCGCAAGGCUAA
This 861-nucleotide ribosomal RNA is filed under the name uncultured Corynebacterium sp. Its description in RNAcentral is "bacterial SSU rRNA". It matches the Rfam family "Bacterial small subunit ribosomal RNA", at positions 31 to 897 of the family's 1533-position model. Lineage: Bacteria; Bacillati; Actinomycetota; Actinomycetes; Mycobacteriales; Corynebacteriaceae. The record is from RNAcentral.